RNAcentral lists this ribosomal RNA (207 nucleotides) under uncultured delta proteobacterium. RNAcentral describes it as "partial 16S ribosomal RNA". It matches the Rfam family "Bacterial small subunit ribosomal RNA", at positions 568 to 774 of the family's 1533-position model. Lineage: Bacteria; Deltaproteobacteria. The record is from RNAcentral.
CGUGUAGGCGGCUUGAUAAGUCAGAUGUGAAAGCCCUGGGCUUAACCCAGGAAGUGCAUUUGAAACUGUCUUGCUGGAGUAAGGGAGGGGGAAGUGGAAUUCCUGGUGUAGAGGUGAAAUUCGUAGAUAUCAGGAGGAACACCGGUGGCGAAGGCGACUUCCUGGCCCUAUACUGACGCUGAGACGCGAGAGCGUGGGUAGCAAACA